ACGCUCGACACCUACGGGAGGUAGCAGUAGGGAAUCUUCCACAAUGGGCGGCAAGCCUGAUGGAGCAACACCGCGUGAGUGAAGAAGGGUUUCGGCUCGUAAAGCUCUGUUGUUGGAGAAGAACGUGCGUGAGAGUAACUGUUCACGCAGUGACGGUAUCCAACCAGAAAGUCACGGCUAACUACGUGCAGCAGCCGCGGUAAUCUGAGCGGGCUGGCAAGGC
RNAcentral lists this ribosomal RNA (223 nucleotides) under uncultured bacterium. RNAcentral's name for it is "partial 16S ribosomal RNA". It matches the Rfam family "Bacterial small subunit ribosomal RNA", at positions 328 to 539 of the family's 1533-position model. The record is from RNAcentral.